CGAUGUCGACUCAUCACAUCCUGGGGCUGAAGUAGGUCCCAAGGGUUGGGCUGUUCGCCCAUUAAAGUGGUACGUGAGUUGGGUUUAGAACGUCGUGAGACAGUUCGGUCUCUAUCUACUACGGGCGCAGGAUAUUUGAGGGUGAUUCGUCCCUAGUACGAGAGGACCGGGAUGAACGAACCUCUAGUGUACCAGUUAUUUCGCCAGAAGUAGUGCUGGGUAGCUAUGUUCGGAAUGGAUAACCGCUGAAAGCAUCUAAGUGGGAAACCAACCCCAAGAUAAGAUAUCCCUGGAGCGCAAGCUCCCUAAAGACCCCUUGUAGACUACAAGGUUGAUAGGCUCGGUGUGUAAGAGCAGUAAUGUUCUGAGCUAACGAGUACUAAUUGGUCGUGCGUCUUUAUCAUAAAU
This 408-nucleotide ribosomal RNA is filed under the name Deltaproteobacteria bacterium RIFCSPLOWO2_01_FULL_38_9. RNAcentral's name for it is "bacterial LSU rRNA". It matches the Rfam family "Bacterial large subunit ribosomal RNA", at positions 2527 to 2925 of the family's 2925-position model. Lineage: Bacteria; Deltaproteobacteria. The record is from RNAcentral.